UACGAGGGGGGCAGGCGUUGUUCGGAAUUAUUGGGCGUAAAGGGCGCGUAGGCGGCCAUGCGUGUCUUCCGUGAAAUCCCUCGGCUUAACUGAGGACGUGCGGAAGAAACUGCAAGGCUCGAGUCCGGGAGAGGAGGGUGGAAUUCCCAGUGUAGCGGUGAAAUGCGUAGAUAUUGGGAGGAACACCGGUGGCGAAGGCGGCCCUCUGGACCGGUACUGACGCUGAUGCGCGAAAGCGUGGGUAGCAAACGGG
This 253-nucleotide ribosomal RNA is filed under the name uncultured bacterium. Its description in RNAcentral is "partial 16S ribosomal RNA". It matches the Rfam family "Bacterial small subunit ribosomal RNA", at positions 524 to 776 of the family's 1533-position model. The record is from RNAcentral.